CUGCACCUCAAGUGGUCAGGAUGAUUAUUGGGCCUAAAGCAUCCGUAGCCGGCUCUGUAAGUUUUCGGUUAAAUCUGUAUGCUCAACAUACAGGCUGCCGGGAAUACUGCAGCGCUAGGGAGUGGGAGAGGUAGACGGUACUCGGUAGGAAGGGGUAAAAUCCUUUGAUCUAUUGAUGACCACCUGUGGCGAAGGCGGUCUACCAGAACACGUCCGACGGUGAGGGAUGAAAGCUGGGGGAGCAAACCGGAUUAGAUACCCGAGUAGUCC
Molecule: ribosomal RNA, 270 nt
Filed under: uncultured archaeon
Lineage: Archaea
Description: partial 16S ribosomal RNA
Rfam family: Archaeal small subunit ribosomal RNA
Source: RNAcentral